UGACCUAAAGCUGGGGAUAACGGAUGGAAACAUACGCUCAUACCCAAUAGACCUGUGAGGUCGCACUCAUAGGUAAAGCUCCGGCGCUUUACGAUGGGCCUGCGGCCCAUCAGCUACUUGGUAGGGUAACGUGCCUACCAAGGCGAAGACGGGUAGGGGGUGUGAUGAUGCACGACCCCCCACAAUGGGACUGAUACACGGUCCAUACUUCUCCGGGAUGCAGCCGCAGGGACUAUUGCACACUGGACACAAGUCUGAUGCAGCGACGCCGCGUGGCUCACGAAGGCCCUCGGGUCGUAGAAUCCUUUUCACGGGGACGAGGAAGGACGGUACCCCUGGAAUAAGCGUCGGCUAACUACGUGCCAGCAGCCGCGGUAAGACGUAGGACGCAAGCGUUAUCCGGAUUUACUGGGCGUAAAGCGUCUGUAGGCGGCUCGAUCAGUUGGGCGUGAACGCUCCGGGCUUAACCCGGAGAGGUCGUACAAUACUGUCGAACUAGAGGACAUCAGAUGAGCAUGGAAUUUCCGGUGUAGCGGUACAAUGCGCAGAUAUCGGAAGGAACACCAGUGGCGAAGACGGUGCUCUGGGGUGGGCCUGACGCUGAGAGACGAAAGCUAGGGGAGCGAACAGGAUUAGAGACCCUGGUAGUCCUAGCCCUAAACGAUGGAUGCUAGGUGUGGGGCCGAGAAGGCUCUGUGCCGCAGUUUACGCGCUAAGCAUCCCGCCUGGGGAUUACGGCUGCAAGGCUAAAACUCAGACGAAUUGACGGGGCCCCGCACAAGCAGCGGAGCGUGUGGUUUAAUUCGAUGCUACACGAAGAACCUUACCUGGGUUUGACAUGUACGUGGUAGAGAAGCGAAAGCGGAUCGACCCUUCGGGGAGCGUACACAGGUGCUGCAUGGCUGUCGUCAGCUCGUGCCGUGAGGUGUCGGGUUAAGUCCCGUAACGAGCGCAACCCUUGCCCUUAGUUACAAGUGUCUAAGGGGACUGCCGGCGGUAAGCCGGAGGAAGGUGGGGAUGACGUCAAGUCAGCAUGGCCCUUAUAUCCAGGGCUAUACACACGCUA
RNAcentral lists this ribosomal RNA (1066 nucleotides) under uncultured organism. Its description in RNAcentral is "bacterial SSU rRNA". It matches the Rfam family "Bacterial small subunit ribosomal RNA", at positions 127 to 1227 of the family's 1533-position model. The record is from RNAcentral.